Molecule: small RNA, 590 nt
Filed under: Pongo abelii (Sumatran orangutan)
Lineage: Eukaryota; Metazoa; Chordata; Mammalia; Primates; Hominidae
Description: processed transcript
Source: RNAcentral
AGAUGCAAAAUGUGUCUCUGGCCAGCAGGAGGAAGGAAGAGGAAGUGAGAGCAGCGGCAGCCGGCGGUGCAGCAGCCGGCCGACCCAGAGUAAAACCUUCUUGGCCUCUAACUGAGCAGCCCUCCAUAGAGGAUUAUUAGUUCAUGCCUCUGUGCAAGAAAGAAAAACAAAAACAAAACGCAUCAGUUCAUUCACUCUCCCAUCUCCCCUGCUGGCCUGAGAGCACCUGAACAUAGUGAUGGUACUGUAGCCAGUCAUCUGUGCAUCCUCUGUGCUCUGCCCACUGCCUGGCGUGUAGAAUAUACCCAGCAGGGGAUUUUCAGAGCUGACCAGAUGGGAGAGUGGUGAAACUGAAGAUCAGCCCUUUUCCCUGCCUGUUAGCACCUCUAGGAAAGAUUUAAGAGAUGUUUCAAACAAAUCACUCCAACGUAUUUGGGAUUGCUCAUUGUGAUGCCUGAUCUGUGCCAGCCUCUUCCUACCACAUCUGUGACUGUUACAGGGGUAACUAUUCCAUCCCUUAGUCUGCAGCACCCAGAAUGGAUGUGGAAUCACUGAAGGAGGUGAGUGGGGAAGAAGACAAGUUGGAUCCU